RNAcentral lists this long non-coding RNA (9140 nucleotides) under Manihot esculenta (cassava). Its description in RNAcentral is "long non-coding RNA (MESC_LNC010695)". Lineage: Eukaryota; Viridiplantae; Streptophyta; Magnoliopsida; Malpighiales; Euphorbiaceae. The record is from RNAcentral.
ACACUAUCACUUCUUUUUCAUUGUAAUUCAAUUGGAUACUGUUCUUGGAUUGGGUUGGCCACUUGCCAUUUCCCAGAAGCAAUGGUAUGUUCAAGAAUCUCAAGCUUUGCUCAUCUCUUUCCAUUUUAGAUCUCACUCUCACCGAUCUUCUUGACAGCAAACACAAGGUUAGAUACUUCCUCUUUAGCUUGAGUUCUUUGAGAUUCACGCAACAUCUUCUUCUAUCUUUAAUCCUCUAACCCUUGCUCAUAUUCUUUCUCAAAGACUGAAAUUGUUGAUUUAUGAAUUUGAUAUGAUCUCCAAGAUUCUUGCGCCUUUCAAUUUCAGCAUUGAUUCUUCAUUCAACCUAGUUAGGUUUGAUGGAGUUUAAAAACAGUAUGUAGGAUUAACUGUUAAAACAAUCCUGUUUGGACCGGUAUUAUUAGGCUUGAUUGCUAUAGUGUGUGGGGAGAAAAUACAGGAAGUCAGGAGGAAAGUGAGGGUAAGUAAAGGAAUAGAAGAAAGGAGAGAAAAUAAGGAUUCAUUAAAGUUUUUGACAAUUACUUCUGCAAAGAUAUCAAAUGCAGCUUCAGGAAAUACCAAAGUGACUAGCUAAAAGUAUAAUUGAUCAACUAACUAGUAACAGUGCCUAGCUCAGACACAUUACUCGCCUGGAGACAUGGGUUUGAGUAGCAUACCCCAAUCCCCUACUUAACAAUAAAAUAAAAGGAAAUAAAAGCUAACUAGUAACAGUUACUUGAUUACUGAGUAGUUAAUGGGUCCUAGGACAUCUAUCUUUUAGCCACUUUAUUGCUAAUUUUGCUUUAACUGCCAUUGAGGCUGAGAAAAGAGGAAGAGAUAAAGGAACAUAGGCAUAUCCUUUGGAGGAUUAUGCUGUUCAUAUGCUCUAAACCCUAUAAAUUUCUUCUGUCAGGUGGAGAAGACUUAAAAGGUCUAAAGGUUGCAUCCUUGCUGGAUAUAUACUGGUCCAACAGCACAUGCUUACUAAUUGAAUAUUGCUUAUAUCACAUAAAUCUUUUGGUGCCUUUAUGUGACAUAUUUUGGUUUCAUGUAUCCGAGAUCUCCCAUAUUAUGUUAUUUUAUGAGUUAUGCCCUGCCAUAUAUCAAACCUCUCUAUAAAUAUUUACGUUUCAUCAUUUUAAGAGAAAUUUUUUACUGGACAUCAACACAACUGUCAAAUAUUAUAACCAUUCUCAAUAGAAUUGACCACUGGUCACAACCUUGCUAACAAUUAUAAUAUAUUCUUCUUGCCAUAUAUUUAUUUUGAAAAUCUGCAAUGCAUUGACACUGAACUAUACUUUUUUUUUUGUACAUAUUAAAAAACAAGACAAACAUAGCAUAAACUAAGUCUAAUAACUUUUCUUUCGAUAACUGAUAAAAUUCCUGAUAACAAAAUAAAGUAGGUGGAGACUGGAGAGUGUUGCUACUGGCUACAAGGCUAUAUGCAGACAAUAAAGCCUCAUUACAAGUACACAGCAGUGAGUCUUAUCCUAAACUGCAUAGCAAGAUGGCGAAAUAUGAAGCAUUGCAAACAAUAGAUUAUAGACAUAUGUAUUUACCUUUUAAGAUUACAUGAAACUGAAGCUAAGCAAUCAAAUUCUUUGCUGAAACUACCUUUGACUUUACGGCUGCAACUCUGUAGCUCAGUAGCUGAAUUGAAUAUCCCACAAAUUCAUGUUUUUCUCGUUCCCUUAAAGUCUUUCCUGCCAUAUAUCUGAUACUGAUCUGCAGCAAUCAAGUUAGCUGUACUUUGAAUGAUUAGGCGCAUUUUCCUUGAUGCAAUCUGCGAUUCCCUUCUUUCCACUAUUUCCAACAAUUCAGAGGUUCAUGGCUGUUUUUGGCGAUUUCAUGGCUAGAAGAGCUCUCUCCUUCAGAAUACAUUUGUAAAGGACGGAUAUCCCAGACCCCUCCACCUCUCCAGUAGGAAGAGUUAACUUGUGGGAUGUGUGCAACUCUGCUAAAAUCUUCACCUUGUUCAUUUGGACUCAAUGUCCUAAUCAAUUCAUCAGGCAUUUCAAAAAACUCUAGCACUUUUAAUUUAGUCAGAUGCUCAAUUCCUGAGGGAACUUUUCUUAAGGAGUUGCAGCGCUGGAUGAUGAGUUUUUCAAGGCGAGGCAUUGCCCCUUUCUCCACAUGUAUGCUUUUCAGAUCAUUGAAUUUAUCAAGACCUAAUAUUUUGAGCUUCUGAAACCCUCCAGUAGCAAAUGACACAAUCUCUCCAUCAAAAGCCUGAAGUAAUUCAAGAUGAAUUAGAUUCGGCAAAUGUUGAAGAUCUGUAAAUGGAUCUUGUUUAAGUCGACUCCCUUUAAGAAACAAUUUCACCAGUCUGUUGACCAUGGUUAUCCAUUCUGGUAGCUUUUCUAGACGCCCUGUCAAGUACAAUCUCUGAAGAUGCUGAGGAGGUGAAAAUUGGCAUUGAAGGUCAAUGAUUUCCUCCUCUUUAACUGCAGUUAUAGACAGUGCUCGAAGCUUACUUAGCUUUUGAAUGGAAGAGCACAGAACCUUCCCAUCUUCUCUUCUCAACUUAGUGAUGCCUAACCUUCGUAGUUCCUUUAGCUUCCCCAACUCUGUCAUUAUAAUAUGGCUUUCUUUAUUUGCCUCUAUAAAGCAGAGCUUCUGCAGGUUUUUCAACUCUCCUAUUUUUGCAGGUGCUUCAAAACCAUAUUUAUAGUUGAAGUGAGCAUAAGGUUCGAACUCAUACCGAUACACCAGGAGAUGGUGGAGUUUUUUGAGCUUCAGGAUUGUUAUAGGCAAUUUACUGACAUAGGAAUGUUUGAGAUCCAAAGUUUGUAGGUUUCUAAGCUUUCCAAUGGAUGGUGGAAUUAUUCCCACCAUGGUAUUUUUCAAACUCAAGUACCUUAGGAGGGACAGCUUCACAAUUUCAGCUGGAAAUAUCUCUAAAGGUGCACCUUGCAAAUCCAGUACAUUAAGCAUACCAAAACUUUCAGGGAACGAUGUGUGCAUGGAUGAUAGGGAAUCUGUCAAUCCAAACAUGAAUAAGGAACGGAGUUGUGAAAAUGUCUUGAUCUGCUUUAUAUUCUGCAUUGUAUUAUGUAUGGAUAGCCUUCGAACUGUUUCAGGCCAUACUUCAUCUUGUUGUUUCGCUACUGCAGAAAAAUUUUGAUCUUUUGACUUCAAAAUGGAAAUCUUAUGCAGGAUAUCAUGGACACGACAUGUUUUGACCCUUCCAUCACUUGUUCUCUUUGCCACCUGGAUCAAGUUUCUGUCCAAAAGCAUCUUGAGGUAUCCCUGAGCAACUUCUUCUGCUGUUCUUUCUUCCAUUACUUCUGCAAAUCUUUCUGCUACCCACAAGCGAAUCAGUCUCAUGCACUCUAUAGGAUGGCCCUCUGGAAAGAUGCUAAAGUACAAGAAGCAAGAUUUUACAAUGUAAGGCAAUUUUUCAUAACUGAGAAACAAAAUUUCUUUCAUGAACUCGAUUUCAUUAUUAUCUCUCAGUUCUGCACCAAGGCUCCUAUCAACCAUUUCCCACUCAUCUGGUAGGCUUUUGUUCUUAGUAAACAAAAGACCGCUGAUUGCAAUGAUUGCCAGUGGCAGCCCCUCACAUUUUUCUAAAAUACUUUGGGAAACUUUCUGCAAAUAAGGAGGACAGAUUUCCUUCUUAAACGUCCUCUUGUUGAACAGUUCUUCAGACUCUUUCGCAGAUAGUGGUUUCAACUCAAAGUUGUGGCCAUUGAAUUCCUUAGAAGAGGUAGAAGAUACAGCGGCAUCGCGAGUUGUGAGCAUCACUCGGCCACCAUUUCCUCUAGGCAAUACAGAUUUGAUAGAAUUCCAUGCUCCUAAACUCCACACAUCAUCUAGCACAAGUAUGUAGGACCCUUGCCGGAGGAAAUUUUUUACUACUUCUUUCAGCUUGGUUGACUUCAUGGUUUCCACUUCCUGAGGGACUGGCUGCUUGAAUUCGGCAUAGAGCUGCUGCAUCAUGUCUUUUAGUAGGUCAGUGAUCUUGAAUGAUUCUGAGACAGUGAUCCAAACAUGGAAGUGAAAAUGUUUCUUCACUCUGGAGUCAUCAUAAACUUUCUUUGCUAGGGUGGUCUUUCCCAAUCCUCCCAUUCCACAUAUUGCAAUAAUUUUGAGUUUAGAAUCACCAUCUGCCAGCCAAGUAAUCAGCUGCUCUCUGUGAUUUUCAAUGCCCACUAACUCUUGCUCCUCUAGUAGAAGGGCUUGUUCUCGUUGGUCAAUCCAUGUUUCAGCUGCAGAAGUAGAGCUUGAACCUUUGCCCUUCUUGCUAAUAUCAUAUUUUGGUAGUUGAUCAAGAAUUGUAUCAAUUUCCAAUUUGAUCCUAUGUAUAUUAGCAGCAUUUUGGUGGUAAACAUUCUGUUUCUUGAAGGAAGUAUAAAUCUUGAGGAGAAAGCUGUGGAAUCCACACCCAUUGUUGUUGGCAGCAUGAACUGGAAGCUGGUUGAGGACAUCCUCAGUGCAGUGAAGAACAUCUCUCAAUUUCCCAACAAACUUUUGAAGUUCUGGAUCCAUCCUUUCCCCCGUAGCAGCUGCUCUAUGGAAUGCCCAUAUUUCAUCUAAUUUUCUUCUAAUGAACUUAACAUCUUCAUGAACCCCACUGAAGUGAUGCACGCCUACUUGGAAUAUGGAGUACAACUUGUCCAAAACGAAGGCAAGAGUCGCUCCCUCAGCCAUCUUCUCUUUUCUUUUUCAAUUGUAGUAUUUGUGCUGCAAUUUUGUUUGGAAAUUUUGUGUUUCACAAUUCUGUCUAUGAUAUUAUUCUCCUCAAUAGUAUUUCUGGAGCUCAAAGAAUGUAUACAAGCUUCAGUUUAGAUAUAUAAAUGUACUCUUCUUUUUUUUUUUUUUCACAAAAAGACUUUUGACCUUCAUUCUUAUGAGCUUUCAAUUGAACUUAUGGCCAAGUACUGUUUGACAUGCUCAUAGGGCUGACUUUUCAGUUCUUUGGAGUGCCAAAAAGCUUGUGUGAAGACAUAGCUAACAUCAUCCAAACCAAGUAAACAGUUUGAAAUAAUUAUUCGUCUGUAGUUAUUACCUGAAUUAUAACUCUUCAUUCCUGAGAAGGAAUAUUCCUCUUUAUUCUGUCUCAAUGUUGCUUCUGUAGCCAAAGGAAAUUACUAUUUUAGAUAUGUCUUGCAGGAAACAAUGGCUAUAGAAAACUAGGAAAAUGUUCAUCAAAUGGCAGUGGAUCUCAAGCUGAUGUAUGCUGGUGAUCCAUUUAAUCUGCACAAGAAAGUCACAAAAACUUACUAACUUUUUUUAUUGUUUAUUCAAGUUGCUGGCAAAAAUAGCUCCCCCAAACAACAGCUAUAGAAAACAUGGAAAAUGCUCAGUCAAAUAUCAAUGAAUACUGAAAAUGGUUGACUUUUUCAAGCAGAAGCAGGUGAUCCAUUGAAUCUGCACAAGAAAUUCAGAAAAACUUCUUAAUUUUUUGUAUUUUUUUGUUUCAAGUUGCUGCAAAAAUGGCUUCCCUAUUUCUCUAUAUAGGAAAAAUAUUUAAAUUCAUAUUCAAACAAGUGCCUUGCAUACAUAUGUAACAAGGCAGGUCUAGUAGCAUUUUCUGUUUCUCUCCAACGAUUUGGUCAAAUCUUCAGAUGCUUUCUUAAGGGAAAUAGCCAGUAAAUUAGAAACUUACUGGGAAAAAUAGUGACAGAUUCCGAGUACUGUUGUAGAUUCCCUCAAUUACUUUUAUAUUAUUUUCUUCUAAUUUAUUCCAAAUUGAGGUUCUAUGCAGAGUCAAGGAACAUGGUAGGUAAAUUAGAACCAAUGGUGCAGGCGUGCAGCAUGAUUUGCUCAAUGUGGAGACUCACCAGGAAGGUAAUGGUAAACCAUCUUAAGUCUUUUUCUAUUAACUUGUUUGCUUGCAAGUAAGAACUUGCUAUUUUUUUUUUCUAUGCAAGUGUUUCAAAAGCUUGAGUUUAUAGCAAAUGUUUUGAUAAAUUCUUCAUUUGUUACUUUUUCCGGGCAGUGUAUACUAAUAUGAAAAGUUGGUAACGCAGGUAACCAACUAGUAUUUUUAACUCCAAAAAUACUAUUUGUCUGGUUUUCAUUGACAUGAAUAACUAUUUCGAGAAACUAAAUCCUGCAAGUUUUUCCCCAGAAAUUGUGAAACGAGUGCAAUUUGUUUGAUAGAAGUAUUCAAGUGACCAACCUCUAAGAUGCUUAAGCCAUCUGAAAAGACAAAAGCACCAACCUAGAAUAUCUUACCAAAGUUGGACUGUUCUGCUUGGGAAAGAAAAGAGCAGUAAGGCCUUGUAACAUGGUUUCAAAUCGCGGUCGCGGCCACGUUCGCGGUCGUGGGUAAUGGAAACAGACCUGUAACGGCCGUAACGUAACGGUAACGGCCUGACGUUACGCAAAUUUUUUAAAAAAAUUUGCAAAGUUCAUAAAUAAAAUGAUAUUGAUUAGAUUUGAUUCAGAACAAUGUAUACAAAUGCAUAAUAAACAUAAAUAUAUAAAAUAUAGAUUAUUUAACUUAUGUUAAACAUCAUAUAUAGUUUAAAAAAAGAAAAAUCUAACAUAAUCUUUGUAGAUUGAGUAAAUUAAUAGCUCAAAGUACAAUUUUAACUCAAACUAACACUUUAAUCCAUAAAAACUUAUAAAAAAAGGAAAAAAAACAACAAUUAAAAACUAAAAUAGAUAAAAUCUAACCAACUUUUUAAAAGAAAUAAGCUUGGAAAUAGAAUAGUUUAUAAUGGAUCUAAUUUUAUACGAGAAAUAUGCAGGGAAGAUUGAAAUUUGAAAGAGAAAGGGAAGAGAAAACUGAAAAAAUAUAGUCUUUAAAGCUGCUGAAAAGUGUAGAAGAAUAGGGAGCAGAAGAUAAAGAAUAUAAAAGAAUUUUUAAUUAUUGGUAACUGCCGUUACCGUUAGUAAUUGCCGUUACCAUUACAUAACGGCUGUUACGCUUGCAACAUAAUUAUUUAAAACCAUGCCUUGUAAGGCCUUUAGCAGGAAAAUCAUACAUAUACUACAAUAGUUAAGUGCAGGUUUUCAUUGAGCUUUUUUAGGUGCUUCUCAAACAGGUAUUGGUCAGAUUCAUAUGACGGAUGCUUAAGACAAAUGGAAAAGAAAAAGAUUUAUGCGACCCAUAGCUGUUGCAUGCCUUCAUAAGAAAAGUUCUCUUACCAAUUUGAUGUAGCAUGCACAAACUAAGAUGCUAUCUAGUUACCUGUAUGACUUAGUAAGCAGAAUUGGUCAAUACUUGAAAUUUCCCAAAAAAAAAUUGAUAGAAAACACUCAAAAUGGCCUUACAAUUCAAUCUUUCUUAUUUAUUUCAGGAUGAUGUUCUAGUUAGCGACUCUAUUGUUUGAUAAAUGGUACCUGUGAGUGAAUGACUUGUCCAAAUCUGAGAAAUUUCAACUUUCUGUGUCAUUACCCAUUGUAUGCCAUAUAAAUUAUUGGUUUAAACAACUUGGUGGUUUGUAAGACACGCAAAUUCCCAACUUUAAUUCUGUAAAAUAUGUUUUGAAAGCAUGAUCUACUUUCAUUUGAUUGGAAGUUGAUCCAGUUUUCAGAAAAUUUUACAGAAUUAAAUUUCAACUUGCUGUGUCAUUACCCAUUGUAUACCAUAUAAAUUCUUUGUUUAAACAACUUGUUGGUUUGAAAGACAUGCAAAUUCCCCUACUUUAAUUCUGUAAAAUAUUUUCUGAAGGCUUGAUCUACUUUCAUUUGAUUGGAUUCCUUGUAGUCAUUACUUUUUUUUAUGAAAUAUCUCUACAAUGACAUAAAUAGUUGCGUAAUGCACGUUAUUAAUCAAUGUAGAUGUAUACAUACUAAUUUAUAUAUGAUUUCGUUGACCAUUGCAUGUGUCUCUGUUCAAAGCAUUACAAUUUCAACUGCUGCUGCUAUUUUUUUCCGAUGCUUGAAGCCUUAAAUUGUUAAUUCCUUUAAGGUUACCUAGAAACUUCUCAAAACUAUACUACUUAUAAGUUGAACCAUGAAACCUAAUAAUAUCUUUAGGAAUCUUCAAAAAUACUGACAUGAAGCUAGAAAAUCUUCAGAGUUGGACUGUUAUGCUCCAGGUAGUGUAGGUGUAAUUGACAAAUAGAAAUUCUUUUAAAGUUGAUCUAAUUGUAGUUCAUUUGGCUAAUAAAAUAAAAAAUUUCAACAAUCUUUUGUUAGUGGGCAAAUGUCUGUUUGCACAUGUACAUGUAAUGGAAGAUUCUUCUGCACAUGUUUCUGACUUCUUCGUUGAUUCUCAAUUUCAGAUAUUUGAUAUAUAUGAACACUGCUAUAGAAAAUGCUUAGUGCAUUUCCUUCCAUAAAAGUCUAUUCUUUUAUGAUUAACAACAUCCUAUCAAGUUAUAUUUCAAUGCGCCCUUGGUUAGUCCAGUUUGAAACUGCUGAACUGAUUAGCUUAACUGCUAGUGUUAGAGCCUUGGAGGUAGCUUAAUGGCAAAUAAAUCCAAGCAGAAUUUUAUGCAAAUAGUUGCACACUUGAGUUGCAGAAUUUUAUGCGAGAUCAGAUCAUGAAAUGAGUUGCACACUCGAUACAUUAAAUGACAAACAGAAAACCAUGUAAACCGCAGAAAAUGGCAACAAAUCUGCCCAAAAAAAAAAAAAAGAAAUGAAAGAAAGAUCAUUCUUCUACCUAUAGACAGAUCCAUAACUUUGCAUGUUCUGGUCAUUGCUGUAUCCUUAUUUGUAUGCCUUACAUUAUUUGUUGCUGAUAUGCACUAAAUCUUGUAAAAGAUCACAAUGGAGAAACUUGGUUUCACUUGCUUGCCGUUUUCUUCGGUACUUUACCUACCGAUAAGAUACUUCUUUCCCAGUGAGUGUUCUUCCAUCUAAUAAAAUAAACCUGUGGGAAAUGAGAAAGAUUUGUUCCCUGUUUCUCCAGCAUGAUCAUCUUGUUUAAUUCAUCAGGCAUGUCAAAAAAUUUGAUUGUUUUGAGGUUUUUGAGGUGUUCGAUACAGGAUGGUCCUUCCUCCAACAAUUGGCAGCGACUAAUGGUAAGUUCUCUGAGUAAGGGCAUUGCCCCUUCCUCCACAUGCAAACAUCUAAGUUCUUCCAACUCCUCAAGAAAUAAUAUGUUCAGCCUCUGAAAGCUUCCAGCCUUGAAACUCAAUGCUUGUCCAUCAUAUGCUUGACGAAGUUGAAGUUCUACCAGAUUUGGCAAAUCUCCAAGGGACUCGCACAGGUUGUCCUUCAAGUGGCUGCACCUC